GCCUCUGUAGCUCGAUUUGUUAGAGCGCUGCUCUGGAAUCGCAGGGCCGUAGGUUUGAUUCCUGCCAAAGGGU
This is a non-coding RNA of Paramuricea clavata, 73 nucleotides long. NCBI's taxonomy places the organism in Eukaryota, Metazoa, Cnidaria, Anthozoa, Malacalcyonacea, Plexauridae. The record is from the annotation of a GenBank genome assembly.